Gossypium hirsutum (cotton) is the source of this 87-nucleotide non-coding RNA. NCBI's taxonomy places the organism in Eukaryota, Viridiplantae, Streptophyta, Magnoliopsida, Malvales, Malvaceae. The record is from Rfam.
CACGUCAGCGCGCUUUGCUGACAUGGACACAAAUCGCGCUUUCAAGGCCGCGCUUUGUUCCCAUGUCAGCAAAUCGCGCUGACGUGG